RNAcentral lists this Y RNA (102 nucleotides) under Rhinopithecus bieti (black snub-nosed monkey). Its description in RNAcentral is "Y RNA (ENSRBIG00000001571.1)". It matches the Rfam family "Y RNA". From Rfam's summary of the family: Y RNAs are components of the Ro ribonucleoprotein particle (Ro RNP), in association with Ro60 and La proteins. The Y RNAs and Ro60 and La proteins are well conserved, but the function of the Ro RNP is not known. Lineage: Eukaryota; Metazoa; Chordata; Mammalia; Primates; Cercopithecidae. The record is from Rfam by way of RNAcentral.
GGCUGUUUCAAGUGCAACGGGGUUUACAACUCAUUGAUCACAACCAGUUACAGAUUUCUUUGUUCCUUCUCCACUCCCGCUGCUUCACUUGACUGGCCUAAA